RNAcentral lists this ribosomal RNA (560 nucleotides) under uncultured bacterium. RNAcentral describes it as "bacterial SSU rRNA". It matches the Rfam family "Bacterial small subunit ribosomal RNA", at positions 8 to 556 of the family's 1533-position model. The record is from RNAcentral.
AGAGUUUGAUCCUGGCUCAGGAUGAACGCUGGCGGCAUGCCUAAUACAUGCAAGUCGAACGAGGAUCCUUCGGGAUCCUAGUGGCGAACGGGCGAGUAACACGUAGGGAACCUGCCCGCGCACCGGGAAUACGCUCUGGAAACGGAGAACAAAUCCCGAUGUACAGGAAGGAGGCAUCUUCUUUCUGUGAAACAUCCUGUUAAAGGGAUGGGGCGCGGAUGGACCUGCGGUGCAUUAGUUAGUUGGCGAGGGUAAAGGCCCACCAAGACGAUGAUGCAUAGCCGGCCUGAGAGGGCGGACGGCCACAUUGGGACUGAGACACGGCCCAGACUCCUGCGGGAGGCAGCAGUAGGGAAUUUUCGUCAAUGGGCGCAAGCCUGAACGAGCGAUGCCGCGUGAGUGAAGAAGGCCUUCGGGUCGUAAAGCUCUGUUGCGGGGGAAAAAAGGCAUCUGCAGGAAAUGGUAGAUGACAGAUGGUGCCCCGCCAGAAAGUCACGGCUAACUACGUGCCAGCAGCCCGCGGUAAUACGUAGGUGGCGAGCGUUUAUCCGGAAUGAUUG